This 253-nucleotide ribosomal RNA is filed under the name uncultured bacterium. Its description in RNAcentral is "partial 16S ribosomal RNA". It matches the Rfam family "Bacterial small subunit ribosomal RNA", at positions 524 to 776 of the family's 1533-position model. The record is from RNAcentral.
UACGUAGGGGGCAAGCGUUGUCCGGAAUCAUUGGGCGUAAAGCGCGUGUAGGCGGUUCGAUAAGUCUGCUGUGAAAGUCCAGGGCUCAACCCUGGGAUGCCGGUGGAUACUGUCGGGCUAGAGUACGGAAGAGGCGAGUGGAAUUCCCGGUGUAGCGGUGAAAUGCGCAGAUAUCAGGAGGAACACCGGUGGCGAAGGCGGGUCUCUGGGCAACUACUGACGCUGAGGAGCGAAAGCGUGGGGAGCGAACAGG